UACGUAGGGUGCGAGCGUUAAUCGGAAUUACUGGGCGUAAAGUGUGCGCAGGCGGCAAAGCAAGUCGAGUGUGAAAGCCCCGGGCUCAACCUGGGAACCGCGCUUGAGACUGGCACGCUCGAGUUCGGGAGAGGAUGGUGGAAUUCCCAGUGUAGAGGUGAAAUUCGUAGAUAUUGGGAAGAACACCGAUGGCGAAGGCAGCCAUCUGGACCGACACUGACGCUGAGGCGCGAAAGCGUGGGGAGCAAACAGG
RNAcentral lists this ribosomal RNA (253 nucleotides) under uncultured bacterium. Its description in RNAcentral is "partial 16S ribosomal RNA". It matches the Rfam family "Bacterial small subunit ribosomal RNA", at positions 524 to 776 of the family's 1533-position model. The record is from RNAcentral.